CCUACGGGGGGCUGCAGUGGGGAAUAUUGGACAAUGGGGGGAACCCUGAUCCAGCCAUGCCGCGUGUGUGAAGAAGGCCCUCGGGUUGUAAAGCACUUUCAGUGAGGAAGAACGCCUGGUGGUUAAUACCCAUCAGGAAAGACAUCACUCACAGAAGAAGCACCGGCUAACUCCGUGCCAGCAGCCGCGGUAAUACGGAGGGUGCGAGCGUUAAUCGGAAUUACUGGGCGUAAAGCGCGCGUAGGUGGCUUGAUAAGCCGGUUGUGAAAGCCCCGGGCUCAACCUGGGAACGGCAUCCGGAACUGUCAAGCUAGAGUGCAGGAGAGGAAGGUAGAAUUCCCGGUGUAGCGGUGAAAUGCGUAGAAAUCGGGAGGAAUACCAGUGGCGAAGGCGGCCUUCUGGACUGACACUGACACUGAGGUGCGAAAGCGUGGGUAGCAAACAGGAUUAGAUACCCGAGUAGUC
Molecule: ribosomal RNA, 465 nt
Filed under: Vreelandella stevensii
Lineage: Bacteria; Pseudomonadati; Pseudomonadota; Gammaproteobacteria; Oceanospirillales; Halomonadaceae
Description: partial 16S ribosomal RNA
Rfam family: Bacterial small subunit ribosomal RNA
Source: RNAcentral